This 485-nucleotide ribosomal RNA is filed under the name uncultured bacterium. RNAcentral describes it as "bacterial SSU rRNA". It matches the Rfam family "Bacterial small subunit ribosomal RNA", at positions 8 to 485 of the family's 1533-position model. The record is from RNAcentral.
AGGGUUUGAUCCUGGCUCAGAUUGAACGCUGGCGGUAUGCUUAACACAUGCAAGUCGAACGGUAACAUAGCUAGCUUGCUAGCUGAUGACGAGUGGCGGACGGGUGAGUAAUGCAUAGGAAUCUGCCUAUUAGUGGGGGACAACCUGUGGAAACGCAGGCUAAUACCGCAUAAGCCCUACGGGGGAAAGCGGGGGAUCUUCGGACCUCGCGCUAAUAGAUGAGCCUAUGUCAGAUUAGCUAGUUGGUGAGGUAAUGGCUCACCAAGGCGACGAUCUGUAGCUGGUCUGAGAGGAUGAUCAGCCACACUGGGACUGAGACACGGCCCAGACUCCUACGGGAGGCAGCAGUGGGGAAUAUUGGACAAUGGGCGAAAGCCUGAUCCAGCAAUACCGCGUGUGUGAAGAAGGCCUGAGGGUUGUAAAGCACUUUCAAUAGUGAGGAAUACCUGGGGGUUAACACUCCCCAGACUGACAUUAGCUAUAGA